Molecule: ribosomal RNA, 244 nt
Filed under: uncultured bacterium
Lineage: Bacteria
Description: partial 16S ribosomal RNA
Rfam family: Bacterial small subunit ribosomal RNA
Source: RNAcentral
UUUUGCCUACGGGGGGCAGCAGUGAGGAAUAUUGGUCAAUGGGCGGAAGCCUGAACCAGCCAAGUCGCGUGAGGGAAUAAGGCCCUACGGGUCGUAAACCUCUUUUGCCGGGGAACAAGGGCGGGGACGGGUCCCGGCCCGGAGAGGACCCGGAGAAAAAGCAUCGGCUAACUCCGUGCCAGCAGCCGCGGUAAUACGGAGGAUGCGAGCGUUAUCCGGAUUUAUUGGGUUUAAAGUGUGCGUA